This 460-nucleotide ribosomal RNA is filed under the name uncultured bacterium. RNAcentral's name for it is "partial 16S ribosomal RNA". It matches the Rfam family "Bacterial small subunit ribosomal RNA", at positions 338 to 795 of the family's 1533-position model. The record is from RNAcentral.
CCUACGGGUGGCAGCAGUGAGGAAUAUUGGUCAAUGGACGCAAGUCUGAACCAGCCAUGCCGCGUGCAGGAAGACGGCUCUAUGAGUUGUAAACUGCUUUUGUACGAGGGUAAACGCAGAUACGCGUAUCUGUCUGAAAGUAUCGUACGAAUAAGGAUCGGCUAACUCCGUGCCAGCAGCCGCGGUAAUACGGAGGAUUCAGGCGUUAUCCGGGUUUAUUGGGUUUAAUGGGUGCGUAGGCGGUCGGAUAAGUUAGAGGUGAAAUCCCGGGGCUCAAAUCCGGCAUUGCCUCUGAUACUGUUCGGCUAGAGUGGAGUUGCGGUAGGCGGAAUGUAUGGUGUAGCGGUGAAAUGCUUAGAGAUCAUACAGAACACCGAUGGCGAAGGCAGCUUACCGGGCUACUACUGACGUUGAGGCACGAAAGCGUGGGGAGCGAACAGGAUUAGAUACCCGGGUAGUC